GAAAUACUCCCUCCGUCUCAAAAUUCUUGUCUUAGAUUUGUCUAUAAAUACGUAUGUAUCUAUUUACAUUUUAGUGUUAGAUACAUCCGUAUGUAGACAAAUCUAAGACAAAAUUUUUGGGACGGAGGGAGUAGAAA
Triticum aestivum (bread wheat) is the source of this 137-nucleotide non-coding RNA. The record is from Rfam. NCBI's taxonomy places the organism in Eukaryota, Viridiplantae, Streptophyta, Magnoliopsida, Poales, Poaceae.